This 2198-nucleotide ribosomal RNA is filed under the name Triticum aestivum (bread wheat). RNAcentral's name for it is "partial small subunit ribosomal RNA". Lineage: Eukaryota; Viridiplantae; Streptophyta; Magnoliopsida; Poales; Poaceae. The record is from RNAcentral.
UACUCUUGCGUAAGGGAUUAUUUCCCUUUUGUUGCCUGCACCUCAUACAUUAGUGCUCGAGUGUCCUCGAGCCAUAGACUAGGCAGGUCUUAUCGAAACACUAAGCUACUUAAUUUACUCACACCGUCCGACGCCCAGGUGUACUUAAGGUAUGCAGUGACAUGCGUGAACUGGCUACCCGGGACCGAACCUGCCUGCAAACCUGCGGUACCUGCCUCGCUCCGUCUCGGCACCGAGUUCUACAGCAGCCGCAGACUAGACACCUAGUCUAGGCCACGAAAGGCCAUCACCGCCGUCCCGUGCGUCAUUUACAUUUUCAACCCGCGACCCCGUUCGAUAGGGGAUGGGUCACUUCAACCUAGAACGUAAGAAGUUCCGUCCCUUGGCCACCUCUUUAGAGGACGUCCUUUCCCCUCACCCGCCAGGUCGCUCGUACCUCAAGAACAACGUCGGUAAUUUGUCAUGGUGUUGUGACGAUCUCUUCCAAUUGCUCUUGUUGUUGUGGUAACUCGGAGAAGUGAUGGGUCAGUACCGCGGCCGCCACCAACUCGACGGCCGGGGCCGCCGGAGUUCACGUCUUCCGGUUUAGACACAACUUCCGCGGCGAGGUCUCGGCCGGUCACGUCUGUUCCCAGUUCCAAGUCUCGUGAGAUAUCUCGUUCACCUAGGUUUUCGAGGCCCCACCUGCGUUUCUCACGCACAACCGCGACGGCGUGAUCCGACUCGAGGAACGGGAGUGUCCUAGAGUCGGGACCUCUUUAGUCAGGCCGUUAAACGUCUUUUUGGUCCUCUGAAACAGUAACACGUUUCUAUCCUUGUUCAAAGCUGUGUGAACCACUCCGCAUGCUAAAAACUGUUAAAUAUAAGCACCCGCUUUCCUAAGUCAUAAUCCAUUCCCUUCUCGUCCGAUUUACACCUGGCCUGUUCUACGUACGUUUUCUAUCAGACACCCACACGCCUCUCUGGCGAAUGCACUCGUUUGUAGCGUUGAUUUUCUGUACGACCGUUUUAGAUGUGUGCUUGAUACAAGUUCGUCAAAACGGUAUAUCAUAUACUCACACCUCGUAUGGUCUACCUUCUCUAGCUCUUUCCUUUUUACAUAUAAUGUUAAGUAUGGCUCCUUCUCGACGCCCUCUUCACCACUCCUUAAACUAACACUUACACCGGUCAAGCGUGUGUACGCCUACGAGAUGUCGGUACAGAACUUCCGAGACCUGAAAUAAGAAUAAUUCCUUUAUGGAACCUUCGUGUAUCACUUUUAUACCUGAUCUCUACGGUCUCUGUAGGAUGGGGGAGUAGACUGUGUUAUAGUCUUCCUGUUACGAGUGUUUUUAAGUAGAUCAAUAUCCGUAAAGUUAUACAUCUACGUACUGUACUUCGAACAGGCAUACCCCCUGUGCUCACAACUUCGUAUAUUCGUAGAUUAAAGAUACUAGUUCUUAACACGACGACCUUACUGUGGUAAACGACUUUAUUAUUCCCUGUCAGAACCUAAUCUCCUGUACUACCGUCUCUUACCUCUACAACAAUUGGUCCAAGUCUGUGUUCAAUCAUAAGUCAAACGUGGUUUGUCUCACCUAUCACAACAACCGUUGCUGCUUUGCUGAGCCGAUUGCUCAGACCAUUAUCCGACAGUCCUAAUAAUGGAGACCGAUUCUCCUUCCUGUACCUUUCCGGAUGCUGUUCGUCUCUCUUCCGCGAAAUACUUCCAAACUCAUUCUCCUGUUCUAAAACGUGCUAAAGAACCGCCGUUCCGGUGUUUACAUGUUGAAACGGGACUAGCGCCCCUACAGGGUUUCGUCCGCUCCUUUGGACGUGCUACGUUUUCAACACCCCACCUGUUUCGUCGUCUUGAGUCUGACUUAUUAAAUGUUUGAAUCUAACAAAGUCGUACUGUAUAAAGACAGUACCGGCCACUGAGUACGGUCUCGAUCGUGUCCCCUGACCUCACGAUUACACUGUAACCCUCGCAGUCACACACACCCGUGUCGGCCAGGAACACGCACAUUCACAGCCCGCGACCACACCACAUGCACUCCGGGACCAAUCCUCAGCACACACCAAACACCCACGUAUUUGUGGGUCAGAACAUUACACAAAACCCACCUUUUUUGCUUUUAUUCAUCGUUUUCAGACUUAAGGGGACAGAGGAAGAGACAAGGGUCAGGGGAGCAGAAGAGGAGAAGUUCGUAUGGUCC